GAUGAAUGUUGGCGGUGUGCCUGAGAUAUGCAAGUCGAACGUCUUUUCUGCCGUAAGGUAGAAAGGUAGUGGCGGACGGCUGAGUAACACGUAGGGACUUACCUCUUUUUGAAGGAUAGCCCAUCGAAAGGUGGGAUAAUACUUCAUAGUACAAGUAUCGCAAGAUAUUUGUUAAAAGGAAUAACUUCUUGAAAAGAGAUGGACCUGCGGCUUAUCAGAUAGUUGGUGGGGUAACGGCCUACCAAGUCUACGACGAGUAGCUGGCCUGAGAAGGUGGUCAGCCAGAGGGGGACUGAGACACGGCCCCCACUCCUACGGGAGGCAG
This 325-nucleotide ribosomal RNA is filed under the name uncultured Microgenomates group bacterium. RNAcentral's name for it is "bacterial SSU rRNA". It matches the Rfam family "Bacterial small subunit ribosomal RNA", at positions 28 to 351 of the family's 1533-position model. The record is from RNAcentral.